Molecule: unclassified non-coding RNA, 21 nt
Filed under: Mus musculus (house mouse)
Lineage: Eukaryota; Metazoa; Chordata; Mammalia; Rodentia; Muridae
Description: oocyte_clustered_small_RNA13305
Source: RNAcentral
UGAGCACUGAGCCGGUCCUGG